This 1817-nucleotide ribosomal RNA is filed under the name Dundonannus sp. 2 AK-2020. RNAcentral describes it as "SSU rRNA". It matches the Rfam family "Eukaryotic small subunit ribosomal RNA". The record is from RNAcentral. Lineage: Eukaryota; Metazoa; Arthropoda; Insecta; Hemiptera; Schizopteridae.
GUAGUCAUAUGCUUGUCUCAAAGCUUAAGCCAUGCAAGUCUAAGUACAAACUAAAUUAAAGUAAAACCGCAAAAUGCUCAUUAAACUAGUUAUAGUUUACUAGAAUAAAAAUUUUAUUUGGAUAACUGUGGUAAUUCUAGAGCUAAUACAUGCAAUUAAGUCUUGCCCUUAUUUGGGAAAGAUGCUUUUAUUAGAUCAAAACCAAUCGAAUAGUUUACUAUUCGUUUUUUUGAUGACUCUGAAUAACACCACAGAUCGCACGGUCUUUGUACUGGCGACAUAUCUUUCAAAUGCCUGACUUAUCAACUGUCGAUGGUAGAUUAUAUGUUUACCAUGGUUGUAACGGGUAACGGGGAAUCAGGGUUCGAUUCCGGAGAGGGAGCCUGAGAAACGGCUACCACAUCCAAGGAAGGACUCCCAGCACGGGGAGGUAGUGACAAAAAAUAACGAUACGGGACUCAUCCGAGGCCCCGUAAUCGGAAUGAAUACACUUUAAAUUCUUUAAUGAGGAUCUAUUAGAGGGCCAGUCUGGUGCCAGCAGCCGCGGUAAUUCCAGCUCUAAUAGCGUAUAUUAAAGUUGUUGCGGUUAAAAAGCUCGUAGUUGGUUCUGUGUGCCAUGCUGUUGGUUCACCGCCUGUCGGUGCAACUGACAUGUCAUGGGACGUCCUGUCGGUGGUAAUUAAAGCCCUAUAAUUAGUUAGGUUCGCUUAAUCUAAUUUAUAGGUAACUUUAAUUACCGAUGAACUCCUGCCGCGGUCCUCUUUAUUGAGUGUCGAGGUGGGCCGACAUGUUUACUUUGAACAAAUUAGAGUGCUUAAAGCAGGCAAAAAUCUGCCUAAAUAGUGGUGCAUGGAAUAAUAGAAUAAGAACUUGGUUCUAUUUUGUUGGUUUUCGGAAUCCAAGUUAAUGAUCAAUAUGGACAGGCGGGGGCAUUCGUAUUUCGACGUUAGAGGUGAAAUUCUUGGAUCGUCGAAAGACGAACUAAAGCGAAAGCAUUUGCCAAGUAUGUCCAAAUUGAUCAAGAACGAAAGUUAGAGGCUCGAAGGCGAUCAGAUACCGCCCUAGUUCUAACCAUAAACGAUGUCAGCCAGAGAUCCGUAGAUGUUUUUUUCAUGACUCGACGGGCAGCUUCCGGGAAACCAAAGCUUUUGGGUUCCGGGGGAAGUAUGGUUGCAAAGCUGAAACUUAAAGGAAUUGACGGAAGGGCACCACCAGAUGUGGAGCCUGCGGCUUAAUUUGACUCAACACGGGAAACCUCACCAGGCCCAGACAUUGGAAGGAUUGACAGAUCGAUAGCUCUUUCUUGAUUCAGUGGGUAGUGGUGCGUUGGUGGAACGAUUUGUCUGGUUAAUUCCGAUAACGAACGAGACUCUAGCUUACUAACUAGGCGUCUGAUAUUUUUGCUAUCAGCGUCUUUUUUCUUCUUAGAAGGACAGGCGGCUCUUAGCCGCACGAGAUUGAGCAAUAACAGGUCAGUGAUGCCCUUAGAUGUUCUGGGCCGCACGCGCGCUACACUGAAGGAAUCAGCGUGUGUUUCCCUGUCUGAAAGGACCGGGUAACCCGCUGAACCUCCUUCGUGCUAGGAAUUGGGGCUUGCAAUUAUUCCCCAUAAACGAGGAAUAUCCAGUAAGCGUGAGUCAUAAGCUCGCGUUGAUUACGUCCCUGCCCUUUGUACACACCGCCCGUCGCUGUUACCGAUUGAAUGAUUUAGUGAGGUCUUCAGACUGGCAAAUAACUAUUGCCUUUAUGGCAGUACGAUUUUUGCUGGAAAGAUGACCAAACUUGAUUAUUUAGAGGAAACAAAAGUCGUAACAAGG